This 164-nucleotide ribosomal RNA is filed under the name uncultured bacterium. Its description in RNAcentral is "partial 16S rRNA". It matches the Rfam family "Bacterial small subunit ribosomal RNA", at positions 355 to 511 of the family's 1533-position model. The record is from RNAcentral.
UAGGGAAUCUUCCACAAUGGGCGCAAGCCUGAUGGAGCAACGCCGCGUGAGUGAAGAAGGUCUUCGGAUCGUAAAACUCUGUUGUCAGAGAAGAACAUGCAGGAGAGUAACUGUUCUUGUAUUGACGGUAUCUAACCAGAAAGCCACGGCUAACUACGUGCCAG